RNAcentral lists this transfer-messenger RNA (397 nucleotides) under Bacteroidales. RNAcentral describes it as "GCA-002708315 sp018661505 Standard tmRNA". It matches the Rfam family "transfer-messenger RNA". From Rfam's summary of the family: Bacterial tmRNA, also known as 10Sa RNA or SsrA, is named for its dual tRNA and mRNA-like properties. RNAcentral also lists the same sequence under 1 other name. Lineage: Bacteria; Pseudomonadati; Bacteroidota; Bacteroidia. The record is from RNAcentral.
GGGGCUGACCGGUUUUGACAGCAAGUUGAAAGGGUAAGUAAGCAUGUCGAGCCAUGUGAUAAAGCUCGUAAAUCCGUGUCACAAACUUUUUAAUUGGCGAAAACAAUUACGCUCUCGCAGCAUAAUCGAAGUUUAGUAGAUUAGCUUUAUCCCGCACUAGGUGCGCGGACGAGACGGCUCGCAGGUGGAGAUGCUCAAUUCCGGCCUGAUUUCGAGUCGCAAGCAAUUUUGAGUUAGUUUCAACUAUGUUUCAGAGUUGGGAUGAAAUUAAGAAACUAAGGUGUUAACCAGGGUGUUUAUUCCCUUUUAAUACUCGAAAACCAAUAAUAAACUAAGCGUGUAGAAAGCUUAUCGGUUCCUUGUUUGGACGAGGGUUCGAAUCCCUCCAGCUCCACUC